ACAGCAGCCGCCGCGGUAAUACGAAGGGUGCAAGCGUUAAUCGGAAUUACUGGGCGUAAAGCGUGCGUAGGCGGUUUGUUAAGUCUGUUGUGAAAUCCCCGGGCUCAACCUGGGAAUGGCAAUGGAUACUGGCAAGCUAGAGUGUGUCAGAGGAUGGUGGAAUUCCCGGUGUAGCGGUGAAAUGCGUAGAGAUCGGGAGGAACAUCAGUGGCGAAGGCGGCCAUCUGGGACAACACUGACGCUGAGGCACGAAAGCGUGGGGAGCAAACAGGAUUAGAGACCCCUGUAGUCCCUGUCUCUUAUAC
Molecule: ribosomal RNA, 305 nt
Filed under: uncultured bacterium
Lineage: Bacteria
Description: partial 16S ribosomal RNA
Rfam family: Bacterial small subunit ribosomal RNA
Source: RNAcentral